UCUAAUGUGGCAGACUAGUGCAAUGAGUUUAAGCCUCAUAUAUAGAGUUUAACCUUUCUUUAGAA
This 65-nucleotide transfer RNA is filed under the name Schizonycha sp. SCH01. RNAcentral describes it as "tRNA-Leu". Lineage: Eukaryota; Metazoa; Arthropoda; Insecta; Coleoptera; Scarabaeidae. The record is from RNAcentral.